This 301-nucleotide ribosomal RNA is filed under the name uncultured bacterium. RNAcentral describes it as "partial 16S ribosomal RNA". It matches the Rfam family "Bacterial small subunit ribosomal RNA", at positions 509 to 808 of the family's 1533-position model. The record is from RNAcentral.
CAGUAGCCACGGUAAUACAGAGGGUGCGAGCGUUAAUCGGAUUUACUGGGCGUAAAGCGUGCGUAGGCGGCUUCUUAAGUCGGAUGUGAAAUCCCUGAGCUUAACUUAGGAAUUGCAUUCGAUACUGGGAAGCUAGAGUAUGGGAGAGGAUGGUAGAAUUCCAGGUGUAGCGGUGAAAUGCGUAGAGAUCUGGAGGAAUACCGAUGGCGAAGGCAGCCAUCUGGCCUAAUACUGACGCUGAGGUACGAAAGCAUGGGGAGCAAACAGGAUUAGAGACCCCGUAGUCCCUGUCUCUUAUACA